CCUACGGGUGGCAGCAGUGAGGAAUAUUGGUCAAUGGCCGAGAGGCUGAACCAGCCAAGUCGCGUGAGGGAAGACGGCCCUACGGGUUGUAAACCUCUUUUGUCGGGGAGCAAAGCGAGUCACGUGUGACUCAUUGAGAGUACCCGAAGAAAAAGCAUCGGCUAACUCCGUGCCAGCCGCCGCGGUAAUACGGAGGAUGCGAGCGUUCUCCGGAUUUAUUGGGUUUAAAGGGUGCGCAGGCGGAGUUGCAAGUCAGCGGUAAAAUUGCGGGGCUCAACCCCGUACUGCCGUUGAAACUGCAUCCCUUGAGUGCGCGAGAGGUAUGCGGAAUGCGUGGUGUAGCGGUGAAAUGCAUAGAUAUCACGCAGAACCCCGAUUGCGAAGGCAGCAUACCGGCGCGCAACUGACGCUCAUGCACGAAAGCGUGGGUAUCGAACAGGAUUAGAUACCCCAGUAGUC
Molecule: ribosomal RNA, 459 nt
Filed under: uncultured bacterium
Lineage: Bacteria
Description: partial 16S ribosomal RNA
Rfam family: Bacterial small subunit ribosomal RNA
Source: RNAcentral